AACGAACGCUGGCGGCAGGCCUAACACAUGCAAGUCGAACGCCGUAGCAAUACGGAGUGGCAGACGGGUGAGUAACACGUGGGAACAUACCCUUUGGUUCGGAAUAACUCAGGGAAACUUGAGCUAAUACCGGAUAAGCGCUUAGGCGGAAAGAUUUAUCGCCGAAGGAUUGGCCCGCGUCCGAUUAGCUAGUUGGUGAGGUAACGGCUCACCAAGGCGACGAUCGGUAGCUGGUCUGAGAGGAUGAUCAGCCACAUUGGGACUGAGACACGGCCCAAACUCCUACGGGAGGCAGCAGUGGGGAAUAUUGGACAAUGGGCGCAAGCCUGAUCCAGCCAUGCCGCGUGAGUGAUGAAGGCCUUAGGGUUGUAAAGCUCUUUUGUGUGGGAAGAUAAUGACUGUACCACAAGAAUAAGCCCCGGCUAACUUCGUGCCAGCCGCCGCCGUAACA
This 451-nucleotide ribosomal RNA is filed under the name uncultured bacterium. RNAcentral describes it as "bacterial SSU rRNA". It matches the Rfam family "Bacterial small subunit ribosomal RNA", at positions 29 to 525 of the family's 1533-position model. The record is from RNAcentral.